Molecule: long non-coding RNA, 1679 nt
Filed under: Malus domestica (apple)
Lineage: Eukaryota; Viridiplantae; Streptophyta; Magnoliopsida; Rosales; Rosaceae
Description: long non-coding RNA (MDOM_LNC006933)
Source: RNAcentral
GAAUUGUGGUUGCCCUCCAUUGAUGAAGCUCUUGUUGGCACCAUAAAUUGGUUUUGCUUCACAUUGUCUUGAUUAAGAGUGUGAAGUUUUUGAGAAUUUUGGUUGAACUCUUUUGAUGAAGCUCUUGUUGGCACCAUAAAUUGGUUUUGCUUCACACUGUCUAGAUCAAGAGUGUGUGAAGCUUUUGAGAAUUGUGGUUGCUCUCCAUUGAUGAAGCUCUUAUUGGCACCAUAAAUUGGUUUUGCUUCACACUGUCUUGAUCAAGAGUGUGUGAGGCUUUUGAGAAUUGUGGUUGCCGCCCAUUGAUGAAGUUCUUGUUAGCACCAUAAAUUGGUUUUGCUUCACACUGUCUUGAUCAAGAGUGUGUGAAGAUUUCUACGAGUUGUAGUGUUUGCAUUGUUACAGAGGAGAAAUGUCUGAAGCAGAUGCAAAAGGGCUGAAUAGCUUGAUCUUCGUAUGCCAUACACUGAAGUUGUUGUUGGUUUGCAAUAAGACUUUGUUGGUGACUAUAAUUCUUGUUGGGAAUAAGUGCUCCCCUAGUUGAGUUGUCAAGCUUGAGGGUUUUUUAUUAUUUGUGAAUGUUAUGAGUUCACAUGUACAAGUUGUACCACUCAUCUUCUGGUAGGUGGAAUGAAUGGUGAAUUGCUUUCAUCACUUGGUUGGUGGUACGAAGGUGAGUUCCUUCAUCACAUUUCAUCACCUAGUUGGUGGCACGAAGAUGAGUUCCUUCUUCACCUGGUUGGUGGCAUGAAUGGUAAGUUGCCAAAUGAUAUUAGAGUACGGGUUGUACAUUUCAUCACCUGGUUGGUGGUAUAAAGAUGAGUUCCUUAUUCACCUGGUUGGUGGCAUGAGUGGCAAGUUGCCAAAUGAUAUUAGAGUACAAGUUGUACAUUUCAUCACCUGGUUGGUGGCAUGAAGAAGAGUACGGGUUGUAGAUUUCAUCACCUGGUUGGUGGCAUGAAGAUGAGCUCAUUCUUCACAUUUCAUCACCUGGUUGGUGAGAAUCAAGGUAUAAAAUAUCGAUGAUAUCGGAAAUAUCGGUAGUCCAAAAACACGGAUAUAUUGAUGGAAAUAUCGGGAUAUUAUCGAUAUUGAUAAAAAUAAUAUGGAAACCACGGAAAUUGUAAGAAAAACUUAGAAAUUUUUAUUGAAACUUUGCAGGAUGUUUAUUUAGUUAAUUAUUUAUUAGUUUAUCAUAAAAAAUUGGAAGGAAAUGCAUUGCAUGAUGAAUUUAACUGAUUUAAGUUGAUUAUAUAGAGCUGGCAAACAUUGUGAGUGUAGAAAAUAUGUAGUAAUUAAUGAAAGAAGUUUAAACACAAUAAUCAUUUAUAUAUAAUGAAUUAGUAUAAUAGUUUACACUUUAUACAUUGCAUGGUAAGAUACAUGAAUUAGGACACAAUUGCCCAUAUGUAUUGGAUUAAUAAACAAUUUUAAUUUUUGUUGUUCACAUAGGAAAGUUAAGGAAGCAGACAAAUAAAUAAAAAAGAGAUUGGGCAGGUAAAAGAUGAGAAGAAGCAGAGUAAAAAAAAGUGGGAAUAUUCGUCAAAUGAGACACACAAACCCAUAGGCUUAUUCAUUUCACAAAAAUUCCGUCUUCCAAAACGCACAAAAAUAGGUCCCCCACUCCCCACCCUCCUCCUCCUCCCUCCGCAUUACCCACCCUCCCCACCCUCUAUAUC